UGUCAGACUGAUUCUCCAUCAUCCACUAUUAGUUACAUGUUAAACAACAUGAGUUCCAAGGCCUCGCUUGUGAGUCGAGGAAUACCGAACAAAAAAGUGCUCCCCGCCCAGCUGUAGUCCCUCAGAAGUCUACAUCUCAAACUUCUAGUUCUGCUAGUCUCAUCAAGGUUUCUAAUUUCAAGUCGGUCCUAUCUCAAAAUUCCCCAAAGUGGCUGUGAAGAAUUUAAAGAAUAAACAAUUCCAUGUUCCUAAUAUUCUGGGUAAUAAGAGACUGUCUGAAAACGCAUCUAAAGCUAAUCUGAAGAAAACGAAAAAGAAAGUACGGACCAACAGCUCAUCUGAAAUGAAUACUUCUCAGAUGAUAAAUGAUUUUUUGUCUAAAAACUCGAGUUUGAAACAGAAGAAAAAUGAUGCAAACGUACCCGUCUUGAGGUUUGCCAUCGCUAACGGCCGUGUCGAAGCUGCAGGAGAGCAGAAGACUGUUUUUUCUACUAGUUUAAUUAAAGAUAUGAAGACUGUUAAACCAGAACCUACCGUCACAUCGAAUUUGACCUCAACUAGUGUAUCGAGUGUAUCCAUGGAGCAAAGUUCAAAUGGCACUGAUAGUAUUGGUUCUCAACAAAUAACGUAUUUAACAGCUAGCCCGGUAACUUUUCAGCAGAUUUCUCUAAGGAUGUUAAACCAGUUACAGGGCAAAUCUCAGGCUCCAGCCAACAACGGUAUGGUUAAAAUCGUGGCAAACCCUGCGGGUGGCACACUGGUUAAAGUGCCUCAGAGCCUCAUAUUCCAGGACCAAAACUCCUCGGGGUAACGUAUCGGCUAUUCCAUACUGUUGUUUACAGUCUGUAGUAUUUCUCUAUAAGCGACAGAAUCAAGUGGGAGGUAAGAUGCUUUUGCCUCCUUCUUGAAGUUGUUUUUUCUACUAAUGAAAGUUGCCUCGCCCACCAAUCAUCACUUCCCCUCUGUGGUUGAAAAAAAUUGAAAAUCAAGUGAUGAUUUGGGGGCAUUGCAAUGAGACAGUAAAUCUCUUUCUUUAAAGAAUUUGCAGUUGUCCCUCUAAUGGUUGGCACGUCUAUUUCAGAAUGUGGAAAGUUGUUUUGUAUGUAGUUGCCAAUAAGAGGUAUUUUAAUUUCUCAUGACACUUAUUCCUAUUCUAAAUUGUUAUAUUUCAAUUUGUUUUACUUCCCUGACAAAGGGACUCUCAGAAGAGAAUUAUGUGAUCAUGUUGUAAGUCAGUAUCUUAAGGAUCUUCGUUGAGCCAAGAAAGUUAUUGAUGACAAAUUUCCUCCCCGUCUUAUGUUUUCCUUUUUUUUCCCUAGCACAAAUUUAGGCAUAUUUUUCACAGCCUGUUUCAUUGUGCUAAUUUUUCCCUCUCUUCCCUCUCUUUUGAACCGAUAGCUUAACGUUUUCUAGUCAUAUUUAUUUGCUUGAAUUUCCAGCUCUUUUACCUUUUGUAAGUAGAAACGUAGGUUCAGUUUCUCUUUCCCAUGUGCCCCUCUCCUUUUUUCCUAGAUCAUUCGGGUAAUUAGUUUUGAGUUGUAAAGAAAUCGUAUAUUCCUCUGUCUUUUUUAUUUUUAAAUAGAGGAAACUAUGGACAUGAUUGAAUCACUUCCUCAGUAUUUUGUGUAAGUGUGCUGUAGAUUUUGGGCAAUAAGAAAGAAUGCCCUUACUUCUAAUUUCCACUGUAUCACUAAGUUGUUUACAGUAACUAAAGCUUGUCAACCAAACACUUCUGGUUUUUAAUCAAUAGAAUGUGAUGAAUUUACCAACCAUCCAAGGUUGGCAUCUUCCGUCUGUCUAUUUUAUCUUGUCUUUGAUCGACGAAACAACAAAUACAUGUAUAAUUCUUAAAUGUAACAAGAAUAAUAAUUUGUAAAAUAAUUGAAACAUAGACUGAAUUUUUAUGAUUGGAGUCACAUCAUAAGGUUUCGUGAUUUUAAUGGACCCUAAGCUCUAUGAUAAAUGUUGGUGUUGCCUUAACGCAAUCAUAUUUUUAGUGAUUUUGCUCAGUCAGAUUGUAGUGCUAAAUUAUUCCUCUCAGCUUUUUAAUCGUAUCUUAUCCGUUUAUCUUGGUGUUCCGUCUGUCAUUAAUAACCUCCAGCUGUAGUCAAAGAUGCUUUAUUCUCUAAUGAGAAAACUAGUGGUAGGAUACGUGUAAACAUUUUAAAGCUGAGAUUUUGUUGUCAACCUAUUGCGACUGUAGGGGACAAUGGUGGCCAGACACCAUGCUCAUUACUGCAUUUCAUAUGCAUUUAAUAUUUAGAUAAAAUAAAUUGUGUAGUUAAAUUGUAUUGUGUAAGUGUGAUUAACCUGUUCGAUUGUAUGAUUUUUCUUGAAUACAAUGCAUUUGUCGCCCUCAGUUUUACGGAGUGCAGCAGGGUGUCUUGGAAUGUCUAUUUUGCUCAGAGUGCUAAAGGGUUGUUUGCCUUAUGGCACAGCUGUUUACCAAUCUGACAUCAAGGUGUCUGCAGACUGAAAACCUAGAAAAUGAUGGAAUUUCAUGUAAAAGACUGGAAUUUUUUUUUCUUUCUUGAUUGCGCUCUGUCUUGUUUGUGUUUUACAAACUUGGAACAUCAUAAUUAGAAACACUCAAAUUAUAGUUUCGUGCCUUGAAUGCUCCAAACUAAUA
This 2629-nucleotide long non-coding RNA is filed under the name Bemisia tabaci. RNAcentral's name for it is "lncRNA ENSSSA3NGG009287". The record is from RNAcentral. Lineage: Eukaryota; Metazoa; Arthropoda; Insecta; Hemiptera; Aleyrodidae.